Molecule: ribosomal RNA, 480 nt
Filed under: Syntrophobacteraceae bacterium enrichment culture clone D10
Lineage: Bacteria; Pseudomonadati; Thermodesulfobacteriota; Syntrophobacteria; Syntrophobacterales; Syntrophobacteraceae
Description: bacterial SSU rRNA
Rfam family: Bacterial small subunit ribosomal RNA
Source: RNAcentral
GGCGGCGUGCUUUAACACAUGCAAGUCGCACGAGAAAGGCUGAUUUUCGGAUUGGCCGCGGUAAAGUGGCGCACGGGUGAGUAACGCGUAGGCAACCCCCCCUUGUGUCCGGGAUAACACUUCGAAAGGGGUGCUAAUACCGGAUGAGACUAUGGUUCGGGAGGAUUGUAGUGGAAGGGAGCCUCUUCAAAUGAAAGCUUCCGCACGAGGACGGGCCUGCGUCCUAUCAGCUAGUUGGCAGGGUAAAAGCCUACCAAGGCUACGACGGGUAGCUGACGCUGAGAGGAUGAUCAGCCACACUGGCACUGGAAUACGGGCCAGACUCCUACGGGAGGCAGCAGUGAGGAAUUUUGCGCAAUGGGAGCAAUCCUGACGCAGCAACGCCGCGUGGGCGAUGAAGGCCUUCGGGUCGUAAAGCCCUGUCGGGCGGGAAGAAAGAUUGUGGGUUGAAUAGGCCUGCAAGUUGACGGUACCGCCAGA